AUUGAACGCUGGCGGCAGGCCUAACACAUGCAAGUCGAACGAGUGGCGGACGGGUGAGUAAUGUCUGGGAACCUGCCCGAUGGAGGGGGAUAACUUCUGGAAACAGUAGCUAAUACCGCAUACAAUCGGAUGUGCCCAGAUGGGAUUAGCUAGGAGGUGGGGUAAUGGCUCACCGAGGCGGCGAUCCCGAGCUGGUCUGAGAGGAUGACCAGCCAAAUUGGAACUGAGACACGGGCCAGACUCCUACGGGAGGCAGCAGUGGGGAAUAUUGCACAAUGGGCGCAAGCCUGAUGCAGCCAUGCCGCUUGUAUGAAGAAGGCCUUCGGGUUGUAAAGUACUUUCAGCGAGGAGGCGUUACUCGCAGAAGAAGCACCGGCUAACUCCGUGCCAGCAGCCGCGGUAAUUC
RNAcentral lists this ribosomal RNA (406 nucleotides) under uncultured bacterium. RNAcentral's name for it is "partial 16S ribosomal RNA". It matches the Rfam family "Bacterial small subunit ribosomal RNA", at positions 30 to 526 of the family's 1533-position model. The record is from RNAcentral.